GUCUAUGGCCAUGCCACCCUGAAGAAGCCCCAUCUUGUCUAAUGUCAGAUGUUAAGCAGGGUUGGGCCUAGUUAAUACUUGGAUGGGAGACCACCUAAGAAGACCAGGUGCUGUAGGCA
Pteropus vampyrus (large flying fox) is the source of this 119-nucleotide ribosomal RNA. The record is from Ensembl. NCBI's taxonomy places the organism in Eukaryota, Metazoa, Chordata, Mammalia, Chiroptera, Pteropodidae.